GUAGGGUGCGAGCGUUAAUCGGAAUUACUGGGCGUAAAGGGUGCGCAGGCGGUUCCGCAAGUCAGGCGUGAAAUCCCGGGGCUUAACCUGGGAAUUGCGCUUGAAACUACGGGACUGGAGUAUGGCAGAGGGAGGUGGAAUUCCACGUGUAGCGGUGAAAUGCGUAGAGAUGUGGAGGAACACCGAUGGCGAAGGCAGCCUCCUGGGCCAAUACUGACGCUCAUGCACGAAAGCGUGGGGAGCAAACAGGAUUAGAUACCCUGGUAGUCCACGCCCUAAACGAUGAUGACUAGUUGUUGGAGGAGUUAAAUCCUUUAGUAACGCAGCUAACGCGAGAAGUCAUCCGCCUGGGGAGUACGGUCGCAAGAUUA
RNAcentral lists this ribosomal RNA (371 nucleotides) under uncultured bacterium. RNAcentral describes it as "bacterial SSU rRNA". It matches the Rfam family "Bacterial small subunit ribosomal RNA", at positions 527 to 896 of the family's 1533-position model. The record is from RNAcentral.